AUUAACAAUGUCUACACUGUAUUUCUGAUCAAUUUGUUGUUAUUUUAAUGGACAAAAAAUGUUUUUCUUUCAAAAACAAGGAAAUGUCUAAGUGACCCCACACCGUUGAAUGGUAGUGUACAUACAGAUUUGGUUAAAUAAAGUGAACUUCUCCUUUUAAAGCGGAUUUCAGGCCUAAAUCGCAUCCUGCUCAGCCCCCCCCCGCCAUACAUAUACACACACCUCGUUACCCUGAGCAGAUGACAAAUUUGUGACAGGCAGUUGCUCACUGUAUAACACUGUUUUAAAUGUAAUGUAAUUGUGUUUAAAACCCUAUAUUGUCACACAUUCUAUUCUACAUAUUUAAUUGUUCUAUGAAUCUGCUUCAUGAGUUACUCUCUCUUCAAAACAGUUUUAGAGGGCAAUGCACCAUAAAUAACCCAGCUCAUUCUAGCCUGUAAUCUGUGCUAUUAGCCCAGAUGAAAGUACUGUGUUGAUAUGUGAGUUUAGAGAUUCGCUCAGAGAACAGGUGAUGAGUCUAAAUCUCUUAAAUAUCCCCUCCUGCUCCCCACGGUGCUAAACUUCUGUCCCAGUCACAUCCCUACCUGACCCUACAAGGGCCAAUCCAGUAGUUUUACCACCGCUUCCCUGACCUCGUGCCUCCUCCCACUCCACUAAAGACCUCGGGGCUGCAGACUGGUGUCUGUUGGUUUUCACCAUGGUACUUCACUGUUCCAUUAUGUAAUAACUGGUUCGUUAAGAAUCCACUCACACCCACCUGGUUUCCCAGGUUUGCAUCAGAUGCUGAUUGAAGGGUAAGAGAGACUGAGUGAAAACCAGCAGAAAUCAUAGCCCUCCUGGUCCAUGCUCUUAAAUGACUGGAAUGAGUCAAAAAAAUAUAUAUAUAUUGCCAAACCUAAAGUCCUAUUUGACUUUUGUCACCUUUUUGUGCUAUCUGCUCACAAACGGUAUGAUGUAGAACCUAUAAGCUAUUUUACUUUAUUUCUAUGUCUUUAAAAUCAAUGUUGAAAUUACAAAAGUGACUCGACUUUACAAUGCAAAGUAACCAAUUUUGUAAGGAACUGCUUAGUCAUUUACAGUAGUAGAGGUUAGUAUGUUAGGCCAGCAAGCAAAGCUAAUCAUUUACAGUAGUAGAGGUUAGUAUGUUAGGCCAGCAAGCAAAGCUAAUCAUUUACAGUGUAGUAGCCUACUCAACCUGAAAAGAGCAGCUGAUCUUUGUCCAAUCUGUAUCCAUCAAAUAUCACAUUUACAGAACAUGUAGGAGCUCCUAUCCCGAGACAACCCCCCUCCCAGUCAGUAUAUUAAGCUAUCCAAGGGUGUCUGUGCUUGAUUCUCUCAUGUAGCGUAUCUUGGUGAAUCUGUAGAAUGCUAUUGAGGGGUUAUCAGGUCAACCAGACAGGAAUGAAUUAUGAGACCCACUCUAACAUUAAUGAGUUAACCCAUCACAUCCCAUCAAGAUGAGCCCUUUGUUCUCAAGUGCACUUACUGUAUGUUAGCAGGAGGUGCAGCAGGAGGGGGUUUAGCAUGGAUAAAUGCUAUGCCAAGGACUGGAGGGCUCUUAUGGGUAUGUAGGCUGUAUCUAUGGGUUUGAGUUUAAAAUGGUAAAAGGUGCUUUUUCAACAGGCUACUGCACUUAGGAAAUCAUAUAGAGAACUAUGGACUUUUCAGGGUAGCAGUCUUGGCCAACAUCCCUUGAGGGAACUGUACUCACAUUUGCCACCCAUCACAUUGGUUCAGAACUUUUGCUAGAAACACAUGUUGUGUUGCCUUUGGAUGGGUUACCUCAGAAUUGAGCACUUCAUCAACAGCAUCACUGGUAAUCAUCACCAUCAAAUGGCCUAUUACACAGUUUGUUCUUUGAGCAUGACUAGUUCGAAUAGAUCACAACCACACAAUCCCACUCAGACGUCUGACCCAGCUGUGUGUCCAUGGCUGGUCUAGUCCCUCUGAUUCAGUCCUGUUGUGUGUUCCCCUUCCUGCCUUACCUUUAACCAUGGGGUUCUCUCUCCCAAUAACUAUAUCAUCCAAAGUAUACACACACUCAACUGUACUGUAUGUUUGCUAAAAUACAGGUUCUAUUUUUUCAAAUACCAGAAAAGCUAUUUUCCUAUGUAUGAUAAUAAAGGAUAAGAAAAUUGAA
This is a long non-coding RNA of Oncorhynchus gorbuscha (pink salmon), 2140 nucleotides long. RefSeq lists it as uncharacterized. The transcript is spliced from 2 exons. Lineage: Eukaryota; Metazoa; Chordata; Actinopteri; Salmoniformes; Salmonidae. The record is from RefSeq and is a predicted model, not a curated record.